GUUACUUUGGCCGAGUUGUUAAGGCGUGUGCCUGCUAAGUACAUGGUGUUUUACCGCGAGAGUUUGAAUCUCUCAGGCGACG
Transfer RNA from Ipomoea nil (Japanese morning glory), 82 nucleotides. It matches the Rfam family "tRNA". From Rfam's summary of the family: Transfer RNA (tRNA) molecules are approximately 80 nucleotides in length. Their secondary structure includes four short double-helical elements and three loops (D, anti-codon, and T loops). Further hydrogen bonds mediate the characteristic L-shaped molecular structure. tRNAs have two regions of fundamental functional importance: the anti-codon, which is responsible for specific mRNA codon recognition, and the 3' end, to which the tRNAs corresponding amino acid is attached (by aminoacyl-tRNA synthetases). tRNAs cope with the degeneracy of the genetic code in two manners: having more than one tRNA (with a specific anti-codon) for a particular amino acid; and 'wobble' base-pairing, i.e. permitting non-standard base-pairing at the 3rd anti-codon position. The record is from Rfam. Lineage: Eukaryota; Viridiplantae; Streptophyta; Magnoliopsida; Solanales; Convolvulaceae.